RNAcentral lists this transfer RNA (72 nucleotides) under bacterium. RNAcentral's name for it is "tRNA-Cys". It matches the Rfam family "tRNA". Rfam says of the family: Transfer RNA (tRNA) molecules are approximately 80 nucleotides in length. Their secondary structure includes four short double-helical elements and three loops (D, anti-codon, and T loops). The record is from RNAcentral.
GAUGCGGUAGCCGAGUGGUUCAGGCACCUGCCUGCAAAGCAGGGUACGGAGGUUCAAAUCCUCCCCGCAUCU